This 93-nucleotide transfer RNA is filed under the name compost metagenome. RNAcentral describes it as "tRNA-Ile". The record is from RNAcentral.
GCUGCUGUUGUUUGAAGGGCUGGGCCCCUUGCUGAUGCCGAGGGCCUGGCAACAGAUGCUGCGCCUGCUCGGCGAUCAGCCGCCGGAGCAGCU